UACGUAGGGUGCGGGCGUUAAUCGGAAUUACUGGGCGUAAAGCGUGCGCAGGCGGUUUUGUAAGCCAGAUGUGAAAGCCCCGGGCUUAACCUGGGAAUGGCAUUUGGGACUGCAAGGCUGGAGUGUGGCAGAGGAGACUGGAAUUCCUGGUGUAGCAGUGAAAUGCGUAGAUAUCAGGAGGAAUACCGAUGGCGAAGGCAGGUCUCUGGGCUGACACUGACGCUCAUGCACGAAAGCGUGGGGAGCAAACAGG
RNAcentral lists this ribosomal RNA (253 nucleotides) under uncultured bacterium. Its description in RNAcentral is "partial 16S ribosomal RNA". It matches the Rfam family "Bacterial small subunit ribosomal RNA", at positions 524 to 776 of the family's 1533-position model. The record is from RNAcentral.